GCUAAGAAUCUUCCGCAAUGGGGGAAACCCUGACGGAGCGACGCCGCGUGGACGAUGGAGGCCGUAAGGUUGUAAAGUCCUUUUGCAGGUGAAGAAUAAGCUGGGGAGUGGAAAGCCCUGGUGAUGACGUUAGCCUGCGAAUAAGCCCCGGCCAAUUACGUGCCAGCAGCCGCGGUAAUACGUAUGGGGCAAGCGUUGUUCGGAGUUAUUGGGCGUAAAGGGCGUGUAGGCGGCUCAUCAAGUCUGGUGUGAAAUCGCGGGGCUCAACCCUGCGUAUGCGCUGGAAACUGGUGGGCUUGAGUUCUUGAGGGGAAGCUGGAAUUCCAGGUGUAGGGGUGAAAUCUGUAGAUAUCUGGAAGAACACCGGUGGCGAAGGCGAGCUUCUAUCAGAGGACUGACGCUGAGGCGCGAAAGCGUGGGGAGCAAACAGGAUUAGAAACCCCGGUAGUCC
This 451-nucleotide ribosomal RNA is filed under the name uncultured bacterium. RNAcentral's name for it is "bacterial SSU rRNA". It matches the Rfam family "Bacterial small subunit ribosomal RNA", at positions 354 to 796 of the family's 1533-position model. The record is from RNAcentral.